GGCUCAGGAUGAACGCUAGCGGCAGGCUUAACACAUGCAAGUCGAGGGGCAGCAUGACGAAACCUUCGGGUUUUUGUUGAUGGCGACCGGCGCAAGGGUGCGUAACGCGUGAGCAACUUGCCCUUAUCAGGGGGAUAACCGGUGGAAACGCCGACUAAUACCCCAUGGCAUCACAUCAAGGCAUCUUUUUGUGAUUAAAGAAAUUCGGAUAAGGAUAGGCUCGCGUGACAUUAGCUAGACGGCGGGGUAACGGCCCACCGUGGCGACGAUGUCUAGGGGUUCUGAGAGGAAGGUCCCCCACACUGGAACUGAGACACGGUCCAGACUCCUACGGGAGGCAGCAGUGAGGAAUAUUGGUCAAUGGUCGGAAGACUGAACCAGCCAAGUAGCGUGAAGGAUGACUGCCCUACGGGUUGUAAACUUCUUUUGUAAGGGAGCAAUAAGGGUCACGUGUGGUCUGAUGAGAGUACCUUACGAAUAAGCAUCGGCUAACUCCGUG
Molecule: ribosomal RNA, 499 nt
Filed under: uncultured bacterium
Lineage: Bacteria
Description: bacterial SSU rRNA
Rfam family: Bacterial small subunit ribosomal RNA
Source: RNAcentral